RNAcentral lists this ribosomal RNA (309 nucleotides) under Candidatus Egerieenecus merdigallinarum. RNAcentral's name for it is "partial 23S ribosomal RNA". It matches the Rfam family "Bacterial large subunit ribosomal RNA", at positions 2615 to 2925 of the family's 2925-position model. Lineage: Bacteria; Bacillati; Bacillota; Clostridia; Eubacteriales. The record is from RNAcentral.
AACGUCGUGAGACAGUUCGGUCCCUAUCCAUCGUGGGCGUAGGAGUCAUGAGAGGAGCUGUUCCUAGUACGAGAGGACCGGAAUGGACGCAUCACUGGUGCAACUGUUGUCGUGCCAACGGCAUAGCAGGGAAGCGAAAUGCGGACGGGAUAAACGCUGAAGGCAUCUAAGCGUGAAGCCCACCUCGAGAAUAAGACUCCCAUUCGCAAGAAGUAAGACCCCUGGAGGACUACCAGGUAGAUAGGUCAUCGGUGGAAGUUCGGUAACGGAUGUAGCUUGAUGAUACUAAUCGGUCGAGGGCUUGAUUGC